CAGUAGCCACGGUAAUACGAAGGGUGCAAGCGUUAAUCGGAAUUACUGGGCGUAAAGCGUGCGUAGGCGGUGAGUUAAGUCUGCUGUGAAAUCCCCGGGCUCAACCUGGGAAUGGCAGUGGAUACUGGCUCGCUAGAGUGUGUCAGAGGAUGGUAGGAUUCCCGGUGUAGCGGUGAAAUGCGUAGAGAUCGGGAGGAACAUCAGUGGCGAAGGCGGCCAUCUGGGACAACACUGACGCUGAGGCACGAAAGCGUGGGGAGCAAACAGGAUUAGAUACCCCCGUAGUCCCUGUCUCUUAUAC
This 301-nucleotide ribosomal RNA is filed under the name uncultured bacterium. RNAcentral's name for it is "partial 16S ribosomal RNA". It matches the Rfam family "Bacterial small subunit ribosomal RNA", at positions 509 to 807 of the family's 1533-position model. The record is from RNAcentral.